Molecule: long non-coding RNA, 297 nt
Filed under: Gossypium raimondii (Peruvian cotton)
Lineage: Eukaryota; Viridiplantae; Streptophyta; Magnoliopsida; Malvales; Malvaceae
Description: long non-coding RNA (GRAI_LNC000366)
Source: RNAcentral
CCCCAUUACACAAAAUCUGACUCGAUUUUAUAGCCGACCUAGAGAAAUAACAAUAAAAUCAAUAAAAAUCCCUUGAUUCUCUGUAUCCUGUUGUUAUUUGUUUUUGAGUCUCGUUACAGGUACUGUUGGAGGAGAAUGCGCGCGACGUGCGUGGAGUAACGUGCGCAACAUGCGGAGGCGACGGACGUGACGUGCAGGGGCUGUUGCGGCGUGCGUGUGGGAGCUACUGCGGCGCAAGUUUGCUGCAGCGCCUAGGGUUUUUUUGGUUUUAGGCUGAUGGGGCUUGGGUCAAAUGGG